GACGAACGCUGGCGGCGUGCCUAACACAUGCAAGUCGAACGGAACUGUUUUGACAGAUUUCUUCGGAAUGAAUUUGAUUUAGUUUAGUGGCGGACGGGUGAGUAACGCGUGAGUAACCUGCCUUCAAGAGGGGAAUAACAUUCUGAAAAGAAUGCUAAUACCGCAUGACAUAUCGGAACCACAUGGUUUUGAUAUCAAAGAUUUUAUCGCUUGAAGAUGGACUCGCGUCCGAUUAGUUAGUUGGUGAGGUAACGGCUCACCAAGACCGCGAUCGGUAGCCGGACUGAGAGGUUGAACGGCCAAAUUGGGACUGAGACACGGCCCAGGCUCCUACGGGAAGGAGCAGUGGGGGAUAUUGCGCAAUGGGGGCAACCCUGACGCAGCAACGCCGCGUGAAGGAUGAAGGUUUUCGGAGUGUAAACUUCUUUUAUUAAGGACGAAAAAUGACGGUACUUAAUGAAUAAGCUCCGGCUAACUACGUG
This 482-nucleotide ribosomal RNA is filed under the name uncultured bacterium. RNAcentral's name for it is "partial 16S ribosomal RNA". It matches the Rfam family "Bacterial small subunit ribosomal RNA", at positions 28 to 507 of the family's 1533-position model. The record is from RNAcentral.